CCUACGGGUGUCUGUAGUGAGGAAUAUUGGUCAAUGGGCGCGAGCCUGAACCAGCCAAGUAGCGUGAAGGAUGACUGCCCUACGGGUUGUAAACUUCUUUUAUAAAGGAAUAAAGUGAGGAACGUGUGCCUUUUUGUAUGUACUUUAUGAAUAAGGAUCGGCGAACUCCGUGCCAGCAGCCGCGGUAAUACGGAGGACCCGAGCGUUAUCCGGAUUUAUUGGGUUUAAAGGGUGCGUAGGCGGAAUAUCAGGUCAGCGGUAAAAAUUCGGGGCUCAACCGUAAAAUUGCAAUUGAUACUGGCAGUCUUGAGUACAGUUGAGGUAGGCGGAAUUCGUGGUGUAGCGGUGAAAUGCUUAGAUAUCACGAAGAACCCCGAUUGCGAAGGCAGCUUACUAAACUGUGACUGACAUUGAUGCUCGAAAGUGUGGGUAUCAAACAGGAUUAGAUACCCCUGUAGUC
RNAcentral lists this ribosomal RNA (460 nucleotides) under uncultured bacterium. RNAcentral describes it as "partial 16S ribosomal RNA". It matches the Rfam family "Bacterial small subunit ribosomal RNA", at positions 338 to 795 of the family's 1533-position model. The record is from RNAcentral.